GAUCUGUAGACUUUGUUUAUUCAUCAGGUAUUAUGAUGUGCAAGUGAUAUUGUAUGGAUAUGACCUCUUGCCUUGACAGUUUACUUUCACGAUGUUUUUCUGUUUUCUUGCAGUGUAAUCUGUUUUCUCUCUGGGCUUGACGAUUGUUUCUACGGAUGUGUCUGCUACAAGGUGGAUUUGUUGGUUUCCUUGCUCUCCUACUCG
This is a non-coding RNA of Pelobates cultripes (western spadefoot toad), 204 nucleotides long. NCBI's taxonomy places the organism in Eukaryota, Metazoa, Chordata, Amphibia, Anura, Pelobatidae. The record is from the annotation of a GenBank genome assembly.